UGCAGUCGAACGGUAGCAGUACUAGCUUGCUAGUAGCUGACGAGUGGCGGACGGGUGAGUAAUGCGUAGGAAUCUACCUAGAAGAGUGGGAUAACCUGGGGAAACUCAGGCUAAUACCGCAUGUGCACUAAGGUGUAAAGCAGGGGACCUUCGGGCCUUGCGCUUUUAGAUGAGCCUACGUCAGAUUAGCUUGUUGGUGGGGUAAAGGCCUACCAAGGCCACGAUCUGUAGCUGGUCUGAGAGGACGAUCAGCCACACUGGGACUGAGACACGGCCCAGACUCCUACGGGAGGCAGCAGUGGGGAAUAUUGGACAAUGGGCGCAAGCCUGAUCCAGCAAUGCCGCGUGUGUGAAGAAGGCCUGCGGGUUGUAAAGCACUUUUGUUGGGGAGGAAAGUUAUUCCGUUAAUACCGGGAUAUUUUGACGUUACCCAAAGAAUAAGCACCGGCUAACUCUGUGCCAGCAGCCGCGGUAAUACAGAGGGUGCGAGCGUUAAUCGGAAUUACUGGGCGUAAAGGGUGCGUAGGUGGCUAAAUAAGUUGGAUGUGAAAUCCCUGGGCUCAACCUAGGAAUUGCAUUCAAGACUGUUUAGCUAGAGUACUGUAGAGGGAAGUGGAAUUUCCGGUGUAGUGGUGAAAUGCGUAGAUAUCGGAAGGAACACCAGUGGCGAAGGCGACUUCCUGGACAGAUACUGACACUGAGGCACGAAAGCGUGNNGAGCAAACAGGAUUAGAUACCCUGGUAGUCCACGCUGUAAACGAUGAGAACUAGCUGUUGGAGUCUUUGAGGCUUUAGUAGCGAAGCUAACGCGUUAAGUUCUCCGCCUGGGGAGUANNNCCGCAAGGUUAAAACUCAAAGGAAUUGA
RNAcentral lists this ribosomal RNA (865 nucleotides) under uncultured bacterium. RNAcentral describes it as "bacterial SSU rRNA". It matches the Rfam family "Bacterial small subunit ribosomal RNA", at positions 56 to 913 of the family's 1533-position model. The record is from RNAcentral.